This is a long non-coding RNA of Pezoporus flaviventris, 568 nucleotides long. RefSeq lists it as uncharacterized. Lineage: Eukaryota; Metazoa; Chordata; Aves; Psittaciformes; Psittacidae. The transcript is spliced from 4 exons. The record is from RefSeq and is a predicted model, not a curated record.
AUCCUGACACCCAUAAGGGAAGUAUUCCCACUGUUGUAAAGGAAGUGGAAAAGCAGUUUAAUGCUGUGAAAGGAGGAGAAACGUGUGUGCUAGAAGAAGCAGGGAGGAAAAGAGAAGAGCUUAAAAAGCUUCCAGCAGAGAAUUAUUUUUACCAAGAUUGGAAUGGCUGUGCAGACAAGUUUUGCGUGAGGGAAGGCCAAGCAGGACAUCACAAGAUCAACUGGAAUAACUCACCUGACCAAUGUUAUCGAGAAAAGUCAGAUCCUGGGAACAGGGGAAGCACAGAAGAAGGGAAAGCAUCUGCAGAGACCAAUUUUUACUUGGAGGAGUUAGAGAAAUACACUUUUUCUGUGUGCUGCCGUUCUGCUGCUGAAGUGAAACUAUCCAGACAGGUUGCUGAGCGUUUCCAUUUCGUGGUGUACGCAGCCUUCUCAGAGCUGGGACCGGGACACUGGCGCUCUGGGGACUUCUGGCUGCUUGUACUGCUUGUGGUUUUGCUUUGGUUUGUGAGACUUUACCUGCAUUAUUUGAGCCAAUGGCUCUUCCUUCAGUCCAUCUCAGUUCCUGU